UCUUAGGUCUGGGCAAUUGGAAUGAAGAACAAUUUAAACCCCUUAUCGAGUAUCAAUUAGGAGGGCAAGUCUGNGUGCCAGCAGCCGCGGUAAUUCCAGCUCCAAUAGCGUAUAUUAAAGUUGUUGCAGUUAAAAAGCUCGUAGUUGGAUUUCUGGCAGGAGUGACCGGCCACACACACCGUGUGUGAGUUGUGCAUUCUGGCCAUCCUUGGUGAAAUCCUGUUUGGCAUUAAGUUGUCGGGCAGGGGAUAACCAUCGUUUACUGUGAAAAAAUUAGAGUGUUUAAAGCAGGCUUAUGCCGUUGAAUAUAUUAGCAUGGAAUAAUAAGAUAGGACUUUGAGUCUAUUUUGUUGGUUUGCGAGUCAAAGUAAUGAUUAAUAGGGACAGUUGGGGGUAUUCGUAUUUCAUUGUCAGAGGUGAAAUUCUUGGAUUUCUGAAAGACGAACUACUGCGAAAGCAUUUACCAAGGAUGUUUUCAUUAAUCAAGAACGAAAGUUAGGGGAUCGAAGAUGAUUAGAUACCAUCGUAGUCUUAACCAUAAACUAUGCCGACUCAGGAUU
This 560-nucleotide ribosomal RNA is filed under the name uncultured diatom. RNAcentral's name for it is "SSU rRNA". It matches the Rfam family "Eukaryotic small subunit ribosomal RNA", at positions 493 to 1054 of the family's 1831-position model. The record is from RNAcentral. Lineage: Eukaryota; Bacillariophyta.